This 253-nucleotide ribosomal RNA is filed under the name uncultured bacterium. RNAcentral describes it as "partial 16S ribosomal RNA". It matches the Rfam family "Bacterial small subunit ribosomal RNA", at positions 524 to 776 of the family's 1533-position model. The record is from RNAcentral.
UACGAAGGGGGCUAGCGUUGCUCGGAAUCACUGGGCGUAAAGCGCACGUAGGCGGAUUGUUAAGUCGGGGGUGAAAUCCUGGAGCUCAACUCCAGAACUGCCUUCGAUACUGGCGAUCUCGAGUCCGGGAGAGGUGAGUGGAACUCCGAGUGUAGAGGUGAAAUUCGUAGAUAUUCGCAAGAACACCAGUGGCGAAGGCGGCUCACUGGCCCGAUACUGACGCUGAGGCACGAAAGCGUGGGGAGCAAACAGG